Molecule: transfer RNA, 73 nt
Filed under: Culex quinquefasciatus (southern house mosquito)
Lineage: Eukaryota; Metazoa; Arthropoda; Insecta; Diptera; Culicidae
Rfam family: tRNA
About the family: Transfer RNA (tRNA) molecules are approximately 80 nucleotides in length. Their secondary structure includes four short double-helical elements and three loops (D, anti-codon, and T loops).
Source: Rfam by way of RNAcentral
GGCUCCGUGGCUUAAUGGUUACGGCUUCUGCCUCACAAGCAGAAGGUUCAGGGAUCAAAUCCCGGCCGGGUUA